AACGCUAGCUACAGGCUUAACACAUGCAAGUCGAGGGGCAGCAUGGUCUUAGCUUGCUAAGACUGAUGGCGACCGGCGCACGGGUGAGUAACACGUAUCCAACCUGCCGUCUACUCUUGGACAGCCUUCUGAAAGGAAGAUUAAUACAAGAUGGCAUCAUGAGUCCACAUGUUCACAUGAUUAAAGGUAUUCCGGUAGACGAUGGGGAUGCGUUCCAUUAGAUAGUAGGCGGGGUAACGGCCCACCUAGUCUUCGAUGGAUAGGGGUUCUGAGAGGAAGGUCCCCCACAUUGGAACUGAGACACGGUCCAAACUCCUACGGGAGGCAGCAGUGAGGAAUAUUGGUCAAUGGGCGAGAGCCUGAACCAGCCAAGUAGCGUGAAGGAUGACUGCCCUAUGGGUUGUAAACUUCUUUUAUAAAGGAAUAAAGUCGGGUAUGCAUACCCGUUUGCAUGUACUUUAUGAAUAAGGAUCGGCUAACUCCGUGCCAGCAGCCGCGGUAAUACGGAGGAUCCGAGCGUUAUCCGGAUUUAUUGGGUUUAAAGGGAGCGUAGAUGGAUGUUUAAGUCAGUUGUGAAAGUUUGCGGCUCAACCGUAAAAUUGCAGUUGAUACUGGAUAUCUUGAGUGCAGUUGAGGCAGGCGGAAUUCGUGGUGUAGCGGUGAAAUGCUUAGAUAUCACGAAGAACUCCGAUUG
Molecule: ribosomal RNA, 694 nt
Filed under: uncultured Bacteroidales bacterium
Lineage: Bacteria; Pseudomonadati; Bacteroidota; Bacteroidia; Bacteroidales
Description: bacterial SSU rRNA
Rfam family: Bacterial small subunit ribosomal RNA
Source: RNAcentral